RNAcentral lists this ribosomal RNA (491 nucleotides) under uncultured bacterium. RNAcentral's name for it is "partial 16S ribosomal RNA". It matches the Rfam family "Bacterial small subunit ribosomal RNA", at positions 29 to 506 of the family's 1533-position model. The record is from RNAcentral.
AGUGAACGCUGGCGGUAGGCCUAACACAUGCAAGUCGAACGGCAGCACAGUAAGAGCUUGCUCUUACGGGUGGCGAGUGGCGGACGGGUGAGGAAUACAUCGGAAUCUACUUUUUCGUGGGGGAUAACGUAGGGAAACUUACGCUAAUACCGCAUACGACCUACGGGUGAAAGCAGGGGAUCUUCGGACCUUGCGCGAUUGAAUGAGCCGAUGUCGGAUUAGCUAGUUGGCGGGGUAAAGGCCCACCAAGGCGACGAUCCGUAGCUGGUCUGAGAGGAUGAUAAGCCACACUGGAACUGAGACACGGUCCAGACUCCUACGGGAGGCAGCAGCGGGGAAUAUUGGACAAUGGGCGCAAGCCUGAUCCAGCCAUACCGCGGGGGUGAAGAAGGCCUUCGGGUUGUAAAGCCCUUUUGUUGGGAAAGAAAAGCAGCAGGUUAAUACCCCGCUGUUCUGACGGUACCCAAAGAAUAAGCACCGGCUAACUUCGU